GGGGAUCUGCCUGAUGGCGGGGGAUAACUACUGGAAACGGUAGCUAAUACCGCAUAAUGUCUUCGGACCAAAGCGGGGGACCUCCGGGCCUCGCGCCAUCAGAUGAACCCAUAUGGGAUUAGCUAGUAGGUAAGGUAACGGCUUACCUAGGCGACGAUCCCUAGCUGGUCUGAGAGGAUGAUCAGCCACACUGGGACUGAGACACGGCCCAGACUCCUACGGGAGGCAGCAGUGGGGAAUAUUGCACAAUGG
This 252-nucleotide ribosomal RNA is filed under the name Morganella morganii. RNAcentral describes it as "partial 16S ribosomal RNA". It matches the Rfam family "Bacterial small subunit ribosomal RNA", at positions 120 to 374 of the family's 1533-position model. Lineage: Bacteria; Pseudomonadati; Pseudomonadota; Gammaproteobacteria; Enterobacterales; Morganellaceae. The record is from RNAcentral.